RNA transcript from Orcinus orca (killer whale), 8595 nucleotides. It is a transcript of the gene named kelch like family member 18, with no coding region annotated. Lineage: Eukaryota; Metazoa; Chordata; Mammalia; Artiodactyla; Delphinidae. The record is from RefSeq and is a predicted model, not a curated record. The transcript is spliced from 13 exons.
GAGACUACGGCGGCCGCGCAGCUCCGUCUAACUCCAGCCUUGCGCUCCGAGCUGCCGUCCACAGGCGCCUUCGCCCCGCCCAGCUUAGCUUCGAGCCAGCCGGCCAGGCCUGCGCAGUCGCGGCGGCCGGGGAAGAUGGUGGAGGACGGCGCGGAGGAGCUGGAGGACCUGGUGCACUUCUCCGUGUCCGAGUUGCCUAGUCGCGGCUACGGCGUCAUGGAGGAGAUCCGGCGGCAGGGCAAGCUGUGCGACGUGACGCUCAAGAUUGGGGACCACAAAUUCAGUGCUCACCGGAUCGUCUUAGCAGCCUCAAUCCCGUAUUUCCACGCUAUGUUUACAAAUGACAUGAUGGAGUGCAAGCAGGAUGAGAUUGUAAUGCAAGGAAUGGACCCAAGCGCCCUGGAAGCUCUGAUCAACUUUGCCUACAACGGUCACCUUGCCAUUGACCAGCAAAACGUCCAGUCGUUGCUGAUGGGGGCGAGUUUCCUGCAGUUGCAGAGCAUCAAAGACGCCUGCUGCACAUUCCUCCGAGAACGGCUUCACCCCAAAAACUGCCUGGGUGUACGCCAGUUUGCUGAGACCAUGAUGUGUGCCGUGCUAUACGACGCGGCCAACAGCUUCAUCCACCAGCACUUUGUGGAGGUGUCCAUGUCGGAAGAGUUCCUGGCCCUGCCCGUGGAAGACGUGCUUGAGCUGGUGUCUCGGGAUGAGCUGAACGUGAAAUCAGAGGAGCAGGUCUUUGAGGCCGUGUUGGCCUGGAUCAGAUACGACCGGGAGCAGAGGGGACCCUGCCUGCCUGAGCUGCUGUCCAAUAUCCGCCUGCCCCUCUGCCGGCCCCAGUUCCUGUCAGACCGAGUGCAGCAGGAUGACCUGGUGCGUUGCUGCCACAAAUGCAGGGACCUGGUGGAUGAAGCAAAGGACUAUCACCUCAUGCCAGAGCGCCGGCCCCACCUGCCAGCUUUCAGAACUCGGCCUCGCUGCUGCACAUCUAUCGCUGGGCUCAUCUAUGCCGUGGGGGGCCUCAACUCAGCAGCAAAUUUUUAUGCAGGUGAUUCCCUGAAUGUGGUGGAAGUGUUCGACCCCAUCGCCAAUCGCUGGGAGAAGUGCCAUCCCAUGACCACAGCCCGCAGCCGUGUCGGUGUGGCCGUGGUGAAUGGACUCCUCUAUGCCAUCGGGGGGUAUGACGGCCAGCUGCGGCUGAGCACUGUGGAGGUCUACAACCCAGAGACGGACACGUGGACCCGAGUGGGGAGCAUGAAUAGCAAGAGAAGUGCCAUGGGGACGGUCGUGCUGGACGGGCAGAUCUACGUCUGUGGUGGCUAUGAUGGCAACUCUUCUCUCAACUCUGUGGAGACCUACUCACCUGAGACGGACAAGUGGACUGUGGUGACCCCGAUGAGCUCCAAUCGCAGUGCUGCAGGGGUUACAGUCUUUGAGGGCAGGAUAUACGUGUCAGGCGGCCAUGACGGUUUGCAGAUCUUCAAUAGUGUGGAGCACUACAACCACCACACAGCCACCUGGCACCCGGCGGCCGGCAUGCUCAACAAGCGCUGCCGGCACGGAGCUGCAUCCCUGGGAAGCAAGAUGUUUGUGUGCGGGGGCUACGACGGCUCGGGCUUCCUCAGCAGCGCCGAGGUGUACAGCUCUGUGGCAGACCAGUGGUGCCUGAUAGUCCCCAUGCACACACGCCGGAGCCGGGUCUCCCUGGUGGCCAGCUGUGGGCGGCUCUACGCCGUGGGGGGCUACGACGGACAGUCGAACCUGAGCUCGGUGGAGAUGUACGACCCAGACACGGACCGCUGGACGUUUAUGGCCCCCAUGGCAUGUCACGAGGGAGGGGUCGGUGUGGGCUGCAUCCCUCUCCUCACCAUCUAAGGCGAAGGGUGGGAUGUGGUGGAGUAGGGAUCUGGUACAAACACAGGCACUUCCUUCCAGGGUUAGUCCCCCUCGGAAGAGGUGGUGGACCAGAAGACAGGGUGAAAUGUGAGCUCGCCAGCGGUACAGUUUUCCAGGUGCUUAAGUCCUCCCUCCCUGUGCAGCCCUUGUGACCUUCAGGCCUAGGUCAUCAAGAUGCACAGCGUGGGACAGAAGCCCCUCUGGGUCCCGCAGCUGGUGACACAGGACUGCUUUGCUGGUCCACAUGUCCACAGGCUCCAUCCAAGCCCAGCUCCCACCUGCCACAGCUCUGUGGGUCGCCCAUCUGCAGAGUGUCUUCCAUCUGACACUCCUUGCCUACUGCUUGCCAGGUGUGUUGUGGCCAGUUUGCGAUGGGGUGGCUUCAGUGGCCAAGCGUGUUGGAAACUGUGGGGUGUGGGUGGGAGAGGAGGGACACAGGCCGGGUUGUCCUCACUGCGAGGCUGCAGCCAUGGCAGUGCUGGUUGCACACACGCACCUCCUCCUUCCAUCCGAGCGCACCGAGAAUUUUGUCUGCAUUGCUGAGUAAGCACGAAGAACAGAAGCUUUUCCUGUGUCUAAUUUUGGGAUUUCAGCGAGGUCUUUUUCAUCUUGUUCAGGAGAAACAGAGGGAGAGGAUAAAAGAUACUUGAAAGAAACUGAAGGAAAGUUAAAGAAGCACUUGAAAGAAACUGAAAAGAAAAAUAAUUUUUUAAAGUGAACAUUUUUUUGCAAGAAGAAAACAUAAAAGACACUAGAGGCAAAUAUGUGUUUAAAUGGAAAACCACCCAACGUGAAAAGGGUGGUAUCCGCUCCCACAUUCGGAUCCCAGGGUCCUAAGGCCUCGCAUGGCACUCGGGGUUCCCUCUGAGCCCCUGUGUGUCCAGAAUCAGUGCACACUCGACCAGUCCUGUAGCAAGGUGCUCGUGGGGUUUGUCUUCACACCCACUAUCAGAGGACUUUUUUAAUCGUAGGCUUAGCGAGUUGGCUAAGUUAUUGCCACUCUUCUAGGUGGGAGCUCCCAGCUUGUCGCUGGAGGCUCCAGAUGCCCCUGUGGUUAUCUCCCACUGCCACCAUGGCACUCAUGCAGAUUCCCACCCCACUUUCAUUCCUUCCUUAUUUGACCAGCAGGAAACAGCAGGUCUGGCCAGAUUCUCAUUUGCCCAUCUAUCAUUCUUGGAUAAUUUUCUUCAUCGUGAUGCUUCUGAGGUACAUUGACCAUUUGUACCUCUAGAACCUAACCAGAGACUUGGUCCUUCCACCAGCCACGGCUGGCUUGGUCCAGUAACCAUAUCUACCCUGCCAGUCCGCUGCUCCUCCAUCCACUCGCCAAUUCCAGGGGUCUGGUCUCCCCUCCAGCCCUUGGCAGACUGACCAGCAAGGUGGACCUUUAUAUUCUAGCAAAGCUGGCUUUAUGACGUAAAGAACUAAAAGCUGAAAGAAUCUCUUGCUGCUGCAAAGAACAGAUUUUAUAUUUCUUCCUAUGAUCUUAGCUAAUGACCUCUUGAAGAGACUCCAUGCUCCUCCUUCCUCCUCCCUGGAUGGGACCUUGAUGCUGCACAGUGGGACCCCAACAGGAGGACUCUUCUCUUACCAGUGCACUGGGCAGUGGAGCUGUCCUUCAACUGCUGCUGCCAAAAUUUGGUUUUCCAAAAUUCUUCCAGUAGAGACUAAAAGAGGAUACAUUUCCAAUGCAAGAUUGGGUCUCAGGGUCCCAAUCUCUACUUGGUUGGUCUGCCCAUCGCUGCCUGCCUGGGUGUCCUGGAAGCCUGUUCAGAAAGGCACGAUGUGACACCUGAGACGUCUCUCCUACCCUGGGACUGUGAGGUUUACCAGUGUGUGCAAUCGCCAUGUUUCCAGAGGGAAGUACUUUUGUUACCUGCCACUUAGGAGCUGGGCCUCUGCUAAAAGCACUUGAAAAUGAUGUUUUUAUUUUAAAAGACUUAACAAUCUGAUAUAGUUGAGCCUGGGCUUGUGGUAGAGCUCUGGCAUUUCUCGCUCCCUGUCGGUUUGCCUGUUAGAGGUAGACUUGGAAGGAGGGUGGGGUCUGUUAUUCCUGUUAGAGAGGCGUUAUCAGUGCUUGUCUUCUUAUUAUAAGCCCCUUUCUUUUGUGAAUUUGCAACAGCACUGACAAACCUGGGUUGUGAAUGUGUUAAGAAUCAACCAGUGGACCUCACCAGGUCCUUAGGAUGCUGACCCAGAUUUUGCCAUUGGGGUUGAGAGAUCAUUUUCCCAUGAUCUGCUGCUCUUGUGAUAGCCUUCCUACAUCUACUCCCACCUCCUGGUGUAGAAGUUACACUGCUCCACCUGGGGUCAGUGUUUCCAAGUAAGGUGAAGCCAGUGCCUUGAUCUGGGCUCUGAGCACAAGUGAGCAAACACUAACAUUUUCACACUCUCCACAGUUGGUUCCUCAGUCUGACGGUGAUGACUGUUUACAGGUGGCUGGUCUGACCCUUUGAUGUUGGAGCCUUUCCAGUAAAACCAUGAAAAGAAGAGAUGCCACCCAUAGGUAUUGUGAAAAGGGUAUAGGGCAGAUACUGUGGACAGUGAACCUUGGGGUCCGGCCCAGCUCUGAGCAGAGGACUGUGGCAUUCGCUGUCCUAGGGUAUUUCCCCUUAGAUAACACAAGGAACCUUCUCUUCUGGGUUUCAUCCGAGAGCAAAGCCAGGAUGGGAGCUGAAGUCCAGCCUUUUGACUUGGCCACAGAGAUGUGAGUAGUAUCGUCAAGAAUUGAGACCAGAUCUCCACAUUCACAGUCCAGUUCACCUGAGGAAAGCAGUGUCUUCGUCCUCUGGAACAGCUGAUUCAUCCAGCCUCCAUGCCCCGAGUGUGGAGGUCUGCUGCCCAGUACUGUGAUGGCCUUCGAGAAGCAGACUGAGCAGCGAGAGAAAGAGAAGAACCCUGUUUGGAUUAUGGAAACAGACUCUCAAUUCUGUUUCAUCGAUCUCUAUGCCUGUCCCUGAGCCAAUACCACACUGAUUGUAUGCUACUGAGUUUUCCAGCUUUAAAGAACUUAUUUUCAUCUCAGCAUUGUUUACAGCAAUUUCAAAGCAAAACAAAAUGGAAACAACUUCGACAGCAGGAGUGACUUAAAUAAAUGGAGGUCUAACCACCCAAUGGAGAAUUACACAGAAAAAAACAUGGGGUGAGUCAAUAGUGACGGAAGUGUGUUAGCUGACAGGUUAAAUGAGAAUAAGCUGGUUGUAAAAUGGGCCGUAAAAUGACUGUGAAGUCAUUUUUUCUUUUAAAAAUAAAACUCACAUUGUACCUGUAUGUAUGAGGAAUGAAAUUUGAUUCCUGCAGCUAUUUAGAUGUUGCCCUAGAGGUCUGUUCACCCAUUGUGUUCCCACCCCCAACCCCCAGUGAAUUUUUCCUUCUCGGUCUUGCUUCUGUGGGCCUGAAGACGUUCAGAAGCUGCCAAGGCCAAGAGGCUGAGCUGUAUUUGGAGCCUUGAUACCAUCUCAGGGCCUGAUAGUGUCUGGGCUAUGAGAAUACAGCAGAGUGGCCCCAGGAGAGCCUCGUGGCUGAUCCUACAGGCCUGCCCUCUUGCGGGGUACAGCAUGAUGGGCCUUGUGUAAUGUGGCAUUGACCACCAUAGAUGAGCCUUGAGCUUCCUGGGAGAAGUUGCUCAGCCCGUUAGUGUCCAGAACCCCCUAGAAGACCUGGAUGAGACCUGGAAGUACUCUUUCGGGGUGGGGGUCAGGCAAGGGAGUGAUAUGUGGUGGUGUGCCUGCGGUGCUGGUGCCUUCUGCUCUCUGCAGGAGCUAGAAGUGACCUUCUCCAGCUGAACAUCAUUGUCCCACCAUGGGGAGAGGGUCUGGGGUCUAGUUUAUCCUGCUCAGCCCAAACCUGCCCAUUUCCCACCCCAGGGUUGCUCCCUGCAGCAUCCCCCACCCCCUCUUGCCCACCAGUGGGGCUACCUGAGAUUUAGGUGGCAAGGGAGUUGGAGUGUGGACUAUGGGCAAGUUAACCAAUUUCCUUGAGGCUUAGUUUUCUCACUAAAAGUUGCAGGUGAUGCAUGCAGCUUGCAACGCAUUUCUGAGACCUGAGAAGUGUAUUCCCAUUCACUGUAUGGGAAGUGGCAUUCAUAAAUCGUGGCUAUUAUUAUCAUUAAUGGAGAGGAGUCCUUGGCUUUCCUGGGAUAAUUACUAAAAAACCCAUUUCCCCAAGGGGCUCUACACCAUGGCCCCUCAAAUGAGAGUUUCCCACAGAUAUUUCUGUAGCAAAGACUUGAAAAAGGAGCCUACUAGUUAGAAGACAAGGGCAUUCAUCCAUUCAACAAGUAUUUACUGAGCAACUACAGUGUGUCAGGCCCUGUUCUCAGGGCUGGAUGUAUCAGGAACCAAGGCCAGAGUUUGCUGGUGGACCAGAUGUGGCUGUGAAAGACAGCAGAGAGCCAGAUGCUCAGGUGCUUGGAUGGAGGCUGCCAUCAGCUGGGCUGGGGUGGGCUGUAGAAGGGUGGUUUGGAGGGAAGAUACUGUGUGGCACACCUUGGACAUCCAUGGGGAGGCGUCCAGGAGGCAAUCUGAAAUGCGAGUCUGGGGUUCAGGGAGAGGUUCUGGCUGGAGCUUAGAUAAAGAAGGAAGCAUAAAGGAAUGAAAGGUGGUUGAGGAGGCUGGGGGCAGAUUACUCUGCCUUCUUGAGCUUCCAGGAAAGCCCUUGGAUGCCCCCCCAACCCAUGUUUCUCUUCAUUGUCCCUGCCCUGACCUCAGGGAGUCUGUGUUCCCAUGAUGCACAGUGGAAUCACCCCCAGGACCUGUCUCAUUUGUCUCCUCACCCCAAGUCCAGCUGGCCCAGCUCUAACACCUUAUUCAUUCACAUUCAUGUAAUCAUUUAUUUUAGAAACGUUUUAUUGAGUUUCUCUCCUGUGGCUCUCACCAGAGAGUGGCCUGACCCCCUCUUGGAGGUACCUGGAUAUAUGAAGGGACAUUUAGUUGUCACAGUGACUGGGCAGGGAACAGGGGCACUCAGGGUCCUGCACAGAAGGAACUGCCCUCCCAGGAUUCAGGAGCACUUUGCUGAGAUAGUCAUUCCCCAGCCACCUGCAGCUGGCUGAGGAGGGCUCAGCUGUGAGUAAAUACAGUGCUACGGAGCCUGGGACACAGCAGGUAAUGCCAGGUAAUGGUUUGGGGAUCAUGAAUGCACAGAUGAGGGAAGGACACUUCUGCUGCCCAGGGAAGAGCAGAGAGGCUUCCUGGAGGAGGUGACUUUGGAGCUGUGCCUUAAAAGAUGAGCAGGAUUUACAGACACAGGAUGGGCAGGAAUUCCAGACAGAGGGAAGCAGGUAUGCGAAUGCAGAGGAGUAUGGGUGGGCUCAGACUGCAGGAAAGGGAGUGCUGAGGGCAGCAGAGGAAGAGAAUGGGUGGGAAUAAGAGGUUGUGGUGGGGUUGCAGGGCAUCCCUUCCCUUCCGCAGCCCUAGAAAUUCCUCAGCAUGUUGGUGAUGAUGUCGUGCUUGGCUUUCUCGUACAGGUCCCUGACUGCAUGUGGCAGUUGGGAGCUCUCAGUUCCUGGAGUGUCCACUCCAGGGGACCCAGCAGAACGCCUCACCCGGCGGACCUACAGAAGUGAUGCAGACGUGAUCACCCUCAUUGAUGGCCCCCUUUCCUGUCCUGCCUGUGGCCCCUCUCUCCAGGUGGGGAUGAGUGUGAGGCACCGGCAGUGAUGUUGGUGAUGGGGCUGGAGGUGGUCCCCAGUGAGGCCCUUCCACUCGGAGCCCAGAGGGCCUGGGAAGGCCUGAACUCUGCCGCUCACUUCCUCUCUGGCUAUUCCACUCACUUGCUAGGAGGCUGCACCUCCGGCUUCAGUUUUUCCAAAUGUGGGGUGUGGAGGAGGGUUCCCAGAGCUCAGGGCCCAGAGCAGAGCCAGUGUCCUGUGAAGUCUGAGCUCCCUCUCACCCCCAGGACGCCCCUUAGCCUCGACCACCAGUCUCUCCUCCCCACCCCUCCUGCCAAACGACUAGCAGUCAUCAAGGUCCAACCGCGCCUCACACUCCACAAGCCUUUCCCCUCCCGACGACUUGCGUUUAGAAGGGCUCGAUCGGCCCGGUUUCCAGAGGAGGAAACUGAGGCCCCACGCGCCGAAGUCAGUGGCCCGGGUGAGGGCCCUUCGGUCAUCGGCGGUCACCGGGCAGAGCGCCGCCCGCGACGGAAACAGACUGGGGCCAGCGCGGGCGCAGGGGCUCAUCUCCGGCUUGAGCUCGCGCUCGUGGUCCGGGUCCCCAGGGCAGUUGAGGGAUGGUUGAGGGACGGAAGGAUGUGCUGCAGCAUGAAGAAGAUGCCCGUGCAGUUCCGCUCUUCCUGCGGGUCAGUGAGCACAGGGGUGCGGUGGCCAACGUUCUUGCCCAGGUACACAGGCUCCCGAAGCCGGCGCCCUCCCUAAUCCUCCCCCCAGAGCCAGGCGGGAGCGGCGAACGCUGGGGGGACCCGGACGGGCUUCGUGAACGCCCAGUAAAAUUAAGGACUUUCAUGCAAGUUAUAUUAAACGGGAAAAGGCCUCCAAAAUUAGCCUCAGAGGAAGCUAUAUUUGUUUAAAACACUCGUGUGUACAUAAAAAAGAUACAGAAGAUGAUUCACCAACGGUUAAUGUUGUCUCCUCCUGGGUAGUGGGGUUGCAGGGGGUUUUUGUUUGUUUGUUUUUAGUUUGCUUCUCCACAUUUUGUUAAUUUGCUAUAAUAAAAUAUUAUUUUCCUAAUUUUAGAAAAA